RNAcentral lists this ribosomal RNA (253 nucleotides) under uncultured bacterium. RNAcentral's name for it is "partial 16S ribosomal RNA". It matches the Rfam family "Bacterial small subunit ribosomal RNA", at positions 524 to 776 of the family's 1533-position model. The record is from RNAcentral.
UACGGAUGGUGCGAGCGUUAAUCGGAAUAACUGGGCGUAAAGGGCACGCAGGCGGGCUUUUAAGUGAGAUGAUAAAUCCCCGGGCUUAACCUGGGAAUAGCAUUUCAGACUGGGAGUCAAGAGUAGUUUAGGGAGGGGUAGAAUUCCACGUGUAGCGGUGAAAUGCGUAGAGAUGUGGAGGAAUACCGAAGGCGAUGGCAGCCCUUUGGGAAUGUACUGACGCUCAUGUGCGAAAGCGUGGGGAGCAAACAGG